CCGGCGGAUGGCCUUGACCCAGUCGUCCAUGUCCGCCUGGGAGUUGGCCAUGAGCAGGACGGACUCAUGGCUGAUGGGGGUCCGGUCCUUCUCCCCGGUCCCACCUGAGGAGGAGGAGAAAGAGUGGAUCUUUUUUUAGGGGGGGGUUCUCACCCCUCUGCGAUGUUGACCGCCAUAAACCGAACACACAGACGCCGAGCGGCCCGACGGCCACGCCAAACACAAACACAGCAAACACUGACGGAGCGGGACGCUUCCUUCACGAAACCAGAAGAACCGACAGGAACUGAAGAUGACCCUCAGAGUCAAAGAACCCUGAGGUGAAGUGAGGGAGAACGGCGCCCUCUGCUGUCAGUAAACGGACCUGCACCUGCUGCAUGAAUGAGGAUCGGAGGAAGAGGAGGAGUCUCACCU
Oryzias melastigma (Indian medaka) is the source of this 414-nucleotide long non-coding RNA. RefSeq lists it as uncharacterized. NCBI's taxonomy places the organism in Eukaryota, Metazoa, Chordata, Actinopteri, Beloniformes, Adrianichthyidae. The transcript is spliced from 3 exons. The record is from RefSeq and is a predicted model, not a curated record.